Molecule: ribosomal RNA, 301 nt
Filed under: uncultured bacterium
Lineage: Bacteria
Description: partial 16S ribosomal RNA
Rfam family: Bacterial small subunit ribosomal RNA
Source: RNAcentral
CAGUCGCCGCGGUAAAACGGAGGGUGCAAGCGUUAUCCGGAUUUAUUGGGUUUAAAGGGUCCGUAGGCGGACUUAUAAGUCAGUGGUGAAAGCCUGUCGCUUAACGAUAGAACUGCCAUUGAUACUGUAAGUCUUGAGUAUAUUUGAGGUAGCUGGAAUAAGUAGUGUAGCGGUGAAAUGCAUAGAUAUUACUUAGAACACCAAUUGCGAAGGCAGGUUACCAAGAUAUAACUGACGCUGAGGGACGAAAGCGUGGGUAGCGAACAGGAUUAGAUACCCCGGUAGUCCCUGUCUCUUAUAC